This 492-nucleotide ribosomal RNA is filed under the name uncultured bacterium. RNAcentral's name for it is "partial 16S ribosomal RNA". It matches the Rfam family "Bacterial small subunit ribosomal RNA", at positions 29 to 507 of the family's 1533-position model. The record is from RNAcentral.
AGUGAACGCUGGCGGUAGGCCUAACACAUGCAAGUCGAACGGCAGCACAGUAGGAGCUUGCUCUUACGGGUGGCGAGUGGCGGACGGGUGAGGAAUACAUCGGAAUCUACUUUUUCGUGGGGGAUAACGUAGGGAAACUUACGCUAAUACCGCAUACGACCUACGGGUGAAAGCAGGGGAUCUUCGGACCUUGCGCGAUUGAAUGAGCCGAUGUCGGAUUAGCUAGUUGGCGGGGUAAAGGCCCACCAAGGCGACGAUCCGUAGCUGGUCUGAGAGGAUGAUCAGCCACACUGGAACUGAGACACGGUCCAGACUCCUACGGGAGGCAGCAGUGGGGAAUAUUGGACAAUGGGCGCAAGCCUGAUCCAGCCAUACCGCGUGGGUGAAGAAGGCCUUUGGGUUGUAAAGCCCUUUUGUUGGGAAAGAAAAGCAGCAGGUUAAUACCCCGCUGUUCUGACGGUACCCAAAGAAUAAGCACCGGCUAACUUCGUG